AGUUAAUGAACUUGAAUAAGUAUAUAUUUUGAAAAUAUAAAAUGAAAGUAAAAUCUUUCAUUAACUU
RNAcentral lists this transfer RNA (67 nucleotides) under Gastrallus laevigatus. Its description in RNAcentral is "tRNA-Ser". The record is from RNAcentral. Lineage: Eukaryota; Metazoa; Arthropoda; Insecta; Coleoptera; Ptinidae.